CAGCACCUCAAGUGGUCAGGAUGAUUAUUGGGCCUAAAGCAUCCGUAGCCGGCGCUGUAAGUUUUCGGUUAAAUCUGUAUGCUCAACAUACAGGCUGCCGGGAAUACUGCAGAGCUAGGGAGUGGGAGAGGUAGACGGUACUCGGUAGGAAGGGGUAAAAUCCUUUGAUCUAUUGAUGACCACCUGUGGCGAAGGCGGUCUACCAGAACACGUCCGACGGUGAGGGAUGAAAGUUGGGGGAGCAAACCGGAUUAGAGACCCGAGUAGUCC
This 270-nucleotide ribosomal RNA is filed under the name uncultured archaeon. RNAcentral's name for it is "partial 16S ribosomal RNA". It matches the Rfam family "Archaeal small subunit ribosomal RNA", at positions 477 to 747 of the family's 1478-position model. The record is from RNAcentral.